RNAcentral lists this long non-coding RNA (6153 nucleotides) under Sus scrofa (pig). RNAcentral's name for it is "lncRNA (ENSSSCG00025014517.1)". The record is from RNAcentral. Lineage: Eukaryota; Metazoa; Chordata; Mammalia; Artiodactyla; Suidae.
UGGGAGAGAAAAAAAAGAAUCUUUGGCGAUUUUGGCUUGAGUCUUUGGAACGGGACACCAGCCUCAUUUUUCUCCGCUUAGCCUCCAAAUAUCCCACUCUACAGGUUGCCGACCCUGAAUCAUUCCUGGAUUCUUCCCCCCCACCCCCACCCCACCCGCCCCUGACCCGGCCCCCUUUGCCCAAACAAACCCCUUACAUCUUGAAGGUCAGAACCCUGGACAGCUUUUUACACAGCCACCAGAUGGUGUUUGCUUUAGCAUAGAUCCACAAAUGAUGUGUUGUUAUAGGAGAGGUGCAGAAAAUUAUAUGACAAAACUGGGUUUGUUUCUCUGCUAGAAACCCAAGGCUGAAAUACUGCAGUAUUCCUUCAAGCCUGACUCCGAAGACGAAAGGGAGACUUUCCCAGAAUUAGGGGGCAUUCAUCAGGGACCAGAGUGGGAAAAAAAAUAACACUGCACUGGUCACUAGUGGCUGAGCUAGUGGUUUAUUUUCUGUCUGUGUUUUCUUAAAUUCAAGUUUUCUAGCUACAUGAUUUUUUUUUUUUUUUUUUUUUUUUUUGGCCGCCCUGAGGCAUAUGGGGCCAGGGAUCAGAUCUGAGCCGCAGUCGUGACCUAAACUGCAGCUGCAGCAAUGCCAGAUUCUUAACCCACGGUGCUGGGCCAGGAAUCAAACCUGCAUCCCAGCGCUCCCACGAUGCCGCCAAUCACAGUUGGAACUCCUUAAAUUCAAGUUUUUCCCUUGACUUCUCCUCGUGUGAUUUCUUUCUGCCUCUGGAUGUCCCCCAGCCCCCUCAGAAGAUUAUCACCUGAUAAUAGAAUGGGCCUCACAACGAGCUGAGACUUAUCACCUGGAUUUCAUGAAGGAACAGGAAUGGGAUGAGUACUGGGUUAGUGCCAGGGUGUUUGGUAAGGGCUGAAUGCCCACUCAGUGCAUAAUACCAUUUUUGGCGGAAUGGCCGUAUCCUGGGGAUUGGGGUUGACUCUAAAGGAAAUGAUCAGGGGAGUUCCUGUCAUGGCUCAGUGCUUAACGAAUCCAACUAGAAGCCAUGAGGUUGCGGGUUCGAUCCCUGGCCUUGUUCAGUGGGUUAAGGAUUCAGCAUUGCCGUGAGCUGUGGUGUAGGUCGCAGACGCGGCUUGGAUCCCGAGUUGCUGUGGCUCUGGUGUAGGCGGUGGCUACAGCUCCAAUUCGACCCCUAGCCUGGGAACCUCUGUAUGCCACGGGAGUGGCCCAAGAAAUUGCAAAAAGACAAAAAUAAAUAAAUAAAUAAAUAAAUAAAUAAAUAAAUAAAUAAGAAAAUGAUCAGGAAAUGAGUUUCAUUCAAGGAGAUGUUGGCAUGUCCUUGAAGCCAGCAUGGUAUCACUGUCUUUCCUCCCCUUUAGUUAAGACUCCUAGGACAAUACUGGGGAAAUUUAUCUAAUUUCUGCCCCACUUUCCUUUUUUUUUUUUUUUGCCUUUUUUAGGGCCACACUUGCAGCACAUGCCAGUUCCCAGGCGAGGGGUCGAAUCGGAGCUGCAGCUGCCGGCCUAUGCAACAGCCACAGCAAUGGCAGAUCCUUGAACCUACUGAGUAAGGCCAGGGAUCAAACCCGUAUCCUCAUGGAUACUAGUCAGGUUCUUAACCUGCUGAGCCACUGUGGGAACUCCCCACUUUCCUUGUUUUUAGAAAAGUAAACUUGGAACCACACAGUAGCUUAGAAGGAUCUUGAAUCCUGAGCGCUUUGCCUUUCUGGUCUGAGGGGACCAGGCCCCAGGCUCUCUGGAACCUGUUCCUUCUCAGUCUAGAGGAAGGAAAGGUGAGAAAGCGACCAUCACAUUAGUGGUGGAGCCAGGUGGGGUUCCACCAUUUACCAUCUCCCCUGGCCCUCAGGUCAAGGUCAAGUUUGCACGUAAAGGCCGAGCAAUGGGAAUAGUUUGGAAUCUUCGAGAGCGAAGGGUUCGAUUGAACUUGAGCAAAUCUCUGAGCUCCAGGUUUCUCAUCUGUAAAUGGGGUGAAUAUAACCUGCCUUGCUUUCACGAAAGUUGAAUGUUAUGGUAUGUAAUGAAGAACUUUAUACAAAAAUAUAAUUUUAUACCUAUGUUCUUAUGUGGUAGCCACUAGCCACUUGUCUCUAUUAAAAUUUAAUUAAAAUUGGAGUUCCCGUCAUGAUGUGAUAUCUUAAGUUAUUUAAAUCGUGGCUUGUUAAGCUGUGGGUGCUGCUGUCACUCUGCCUCUAUACCAUAUGGGAAAAUACAAGUCUACACGGUCACUGUCCUUACGCUCUGCCCAGGGAAGGACCGUGAACUUCACUCUGGGAGAAUGAAGGAGGAAGCAUGGUAGUUUUAAGCCCAAGGGGGUGCCAGACAAGGCAGUUUUGUCUCCAGUUUCGUCUCUUCCUGAACCAGAGAAGAAGUCCAUCCUUCAGGCAUUGAACUCCCUUCCAGUGGGUGGGAGCUGGAGGGAAGGCCCUGUUUCCAGGCAGGAAGAAGCCGAGAUAACCAGGACUUUCGGCUUCCUCUGCGGCUCCCCUGCAGUGCGUAGCGGCAGCCGGGGGAGCGGGGGCAUGGCUGUGUCACUGUGCCCCCAGUCUUCUGAGGGAAGGAAGUGAAGAAUCUUAGGCACCCGUGUCUCCUGGUCCAGGUGAGGCCUCCAGGCACACGCGAGACCCUGGAGCAGGUGCUGAGAUGAGAGACAGUAGCAGUGAGCCUCCCAGCCCAGAAGGGGCCGGGGUGGGUGUAUGUGGGUGGGUGGGCGGGCUUGACCAGGCAGCAGGCAAGCCCUGCAGUCAUCUGGGAAGAAUGCUGAGGAGAUAACGGGGCUGGGUCUUCCCCAGGGUGGACGUGGGAUCUGCUGGAGCGGGGAGCGGGGACUUAGGGCCGCCACUGAUAGGAGGUUUUUCCACCCAUGGCGGCAGCUCUUUCUCCUGUGAAUGGAGGGAUGGAGCCAGGCCCUGAGCUGUGCCUGGCCCAGGCGACGAUCCCCCUGGGGGUGAGGUCAUGGUGGCUGGGGGCAGGGUGGGGGGGGAAGGUCAGAUGUCCAGUUUCCGUCACCUUAUGGGUCCCUGGAGACCACCCAGCUUCCUCUGGCUCAGCUGAUAGUUUCAGAGGCCCUGGCACUAAGAUUAGGGAGGACUCUUGUGGUUGCAAAUUAUGAAAAACGUACUGGAGUACAAGGUGGAGAUUGAAAGCGAGGAGGGCUGUUAGGAGUAGGAGGAGCCAGAGGUCAGGAAAACUAAGCAGGGUCAGCACGGGGACCAAGGAUUGGGAGGAUAACACGCCCACCCCCUCUCCCCCACCCCCACCUCUCCUUUCUGCUUCCCUCUCUUCCAGAGCUUCUUCGGGGAUUGGCUGCAGGGUGGGGCGGGGGUGCCCUAAAUGCACUCUGAGGAACCCUGUCCCUCUCCCCGGGUCCCCAUUCCACAUUCUCCAGGAAGGGUCAGUGCCUUACCCACGGUCCAGUGGGGCCCGGGUUCUGCCCUCCAGAUGGCACCUUCCCACUGUGGCCGAGGAGGGCCAGUUAAGCAGGGGUCCCUUGGAGCUGCCCACACCCCCGCAAAGGGCCUCCCCCUAAGGGAAGUUGGCCCCAGCGAGGGAGGGCGCAGACGUGGCCACUUCAAGGACGGACCAAAAAAAAGUGGGGAAACGUGAAGGUUCGGGAACGGCUGGGGUGCCCGGCCCCUCACUGCGGCCCCAGUCAUCACCUCCCAGGGGUGCUGUCCUGGGGCUCCCGCGAGGGGACCAGGUCCCCUGAGGUGGGUGUCCCGCCGCCUCCUGCUGGGCCCUGGAGCAGCCACCUGAGACUGACCCUCAGGGCCCUUCUCUCAGGAAAGUCUCCUGUCCCCCGCUGGGCUGUGAGCCCCUUGGGGGAUGGAGCUGUGUACAGGGGGUGACUGGGGACUCUUAGAUCUCCCGGUGCCCUGCACACCACCCUCCGUGAGCGCUCAGGGUGGGACGGGGUGAGGCAGGUGCUCUUGGCUCCCGAGUUCCCAUGAACACAAGCACGAUGACCAGGGAACGGUUCACUGUUUCUCCAUCUUGGUUGCAUUUGCAACGGGUCACUUCUUGUUUAACCGUAGUUAUCUUUGUCCUUCAGUUAUUUCACUAGAGACCGUUGUGUCCUCAACUCCAUUUUGGUUCCUCUGGCCUGUGCCUUAUUUCUCUGCAGUGCUCCGACUGGAAGAUCAUAUUAACCUGUCUGCCUUGCACCGGGUCCCCGGGGAGGGGGUGGGGCUGGAGGAGUGUGUGGCAUAAGACACAGUAAAGGCGGUAUCCCUCUAGCACAGCCAAGUCUCUUGCGGCUUGGGGAGGGUAUGGGGCUCCCCCAGAGCCCCUGACACCCUGCUGGGCGUGGGAGUGGACACCUGGUCAGCAGUGACCAAGGGGAAGAGGGCAGACAGCAUCCUCCACAAAGCCGGUCACCCCAACAUCCCCUUGGUGCCUGGGGCAGAGGGCAGGGGUAUUUCUGGCUGUAUUCGCAGUGUGGACAGAGAGCCCGGCCCUCACGCUGGCAGAGCAGACGUAGCAUCAGCCAUCUGUUGGGGCGCCUCGCCCUUCAGAGGCAUGAUUCACUUGGGAGUGAUGCGCACCCCUGCCCCCACCCCUCCCCCGCCGGCCUCGCCCCUGUUGUGGUGUGGUUGUCAUAGAAGAAAGGAGGAGCCACCUUCCUGGCCUCUUGACAGGCCCCUCCUACCUUCCCUCCCACAAGCCAGGCUGGCCCCUGCUCCUGCCAGCAGAGCAAGCGCACCUCUUAGCCGCCAGCUUCUCCUCGCCAGUGCAUGGGCAUCUGCCCUCCUCCGCUUCCUCCUGGACGCAGUGUCCGAGAUUCAGGAGGGCUGAGUAUAGAGGUGGAAGACAUGCACUUUGAUGGCAGACUAGUAUGAGUCCCACUCUGCCCCUCAACUGGCUGUGUGGCCUUACACGUUGCUUAAUGUCUCUGAACUUCAGUUUUCUCAUCUAUAAAAUGGGGAUGGUGGUAUCUCCCUCGUGGCAUCGUCCUUAGGAUUAAAUGAGCAGAGGGUGAUUUGCACAGUGCUGACACACGCUAUGGUGUCACGAUGGGCAGCUGCAGAUAUAUGAAGGAAGGCCUCUGAUCUGUGUGCUGCCAAAAGAAGCUUGGGGUUGGGGCUGUCCCUCUUUGAGGGGGAAUUCCAGUCAAGCCACUGGGGUUUGAGAGGAGCUGGCGUGGAGACUGGAAAGAUGCAGUGCCUUUGUGCCCCAGCCGUUCACUCUCCACAUCCAUCCCUCCUCUCCCAGAACUGAGUUUCAUCCCCACGGAGCAGAAAGCAGACCCUAGGGGUCAUUUGACGUCUAGAAAGCCCCCCUCUUUUCCUCCUUGGGCCAGGAGGGAAGGCAUUCUAGACUCACAUUUAUCAUGACUGUAUUCAGCAAGCAUUUACUGUGUGUACCAUGUGCCAGGCAUUUUUGUGGGUGCUGGAACUGAGCCCCCCUGCCUCCAUGAAGGCCUGGGAAGGCCCUCUCGGGAGACCUGGACACCCUGCUCUUGCAUUGGAACCUUCAGUGUCUCCCUGUUGCCCACAGGUGACAUACAAGCCCCUUGUCGCCUGGUGCCCGCCACCUCCACUUGUCUUGCUGGCAUUUCCUGCUUGACUCUCUCACAGGCGCUUUACUCCCCAAGAUCCCCCUUCUUUCUGUUCCAGGGCGGUUGGCACUUGGCUGCGGUUGCUCCUGCCUCUGUCUGCCUGAGUUUCCCAGCGCUUCUCCUAGGGCCAGCUCAAGUGGUUGUUGAGUCCGCCACGAAGCUGUCCCAGCCACUGAGCACCACGGGAGUUAUUCUCCUGGGCCACGCACAUGCCUUGACCCUGAUGAGAUCUGUCCCGCCUGCCAUAUAGGCCUGUGAGUUGGGCCACCUCAGCUCUGCUGAUGGUGUGCAGUGAUGGUGCUUAAGAAGCAUUUCCCCUAGAGUUCCCAUCGUGGCUCAGUGGUUAGCGAAUCUGACUAGGAACGAUGGCGUUGUGGGUUCGAUCCCUGGCCUUGCUCAGUGGGUUAAGGAUCCAGUGUUGCUGUGGUGUAGGUUGCAGACGCGGCUCAGAUCCUGCAUUGCUGUGGCUCUGGCGUAGGCUGGUGGCUACAGCUCCGAUUAGACCCCUAGCCUGGGAACUUCCAUAUGCCAUGGGAGUGGCCCAAGAAAUGGCAAAAAGACCAAAAAGAAAAAAAAA